ACUCCUGCGGGAGGCAGCAGUGGGGAAUUUUGGACAAUGGGCGAAAGCCUGAUCCAGCCAUGCCGCGUGCAGGAUGAAGGCCUUCGGGUUGUAAACUGCUUUUGUACGGAACGAAACGGCCUUUUCUAAUAAAGAGGGCUAAUGACGGUACCGUAAGAAUAAGCACCGGCUAACUACGUGCCAGCAGCCGCGGUAAUACGUAGGGUGCAAGCGUUAAUCGGAAUUACUGGGCGUAAAGCGUGCGCAGGCGGUUAUGUAAGACAGUUGUGAAAUCCCCGGGCUCAACCUGGGAACUGCAUCUGUGACUGCAUAGCUAGAGUACGGUAGAGGGGGAUGGAAUUCCGCGUGUAGCAGUGAAAUGCGUAGAUAUGCGGAGGAACACCGAUGGCGAAGGCAAUCCCCUGGACCUGUACUGACGCUCAUGCACGAAAGCGUGGGGAGCAAACAGGAUUAGAAACCCGAGUAGUCCCAUG
RNAcentral lists this ribosomal RNA (473 nucleotides) under uncultured organism. RNAcentral's name for it is "partial 16S ribosomal RNA". It matches the Rfam family "Bacterial small subunit ribosomal RNA", at positions 335 to 799 of the family's 1533-position model. The record is from RNAcentral.